This 336-nucleotide unclassified non-coding RNA is filed under the name soil metagenome. RNAcentral's name for it is "partial contains 5.8S ribosomal RNA, internal transcribed spacer 2, and large subunit ribosomal RNA". The stretch from base 1 to 120 matches the Rfam family "5.8S ribosomal RNA", at positions 35 to 154 of the family's 154-position model. The record is from RNAcentral.
GAUGAAGAACGUAGCGAAAUGCGAUAAGUAAUGUGAAUUGCAGAAUUCAGUGAAUCAUCGAAUCUUUGAACGCACAUUGCGCCCGCCAGUAUUCUGGCGGGCAUGCCUGUUCGAGCGUCAUUUCAACCAUCAAGCCCCCGGCUUGUGUUGGGGACCUGCGGCUGCCGCAGGCCCUGAAAAGCAGUGGCGGGCUCGCUGUCACACCGAGCGUAGUAGCAUACAUCUCGCUCUGGGCGUGCUGCGGGUUCCGGCCGUUAAAAAGCCUUAUUUACCCAAGGUUGACCUCGGAUCAGGUAGGAAGACCCGCUGAACUUAAGCAUAUCAAUAAGCGGAGGA